UUUUAUAUAACAAUUAAAUAUGUGUGUUUGUACAAUUUUAAGUAUAACGGAGGACAUUUCUGAAACUUAUAUAUACAACAAACCUUUCUCUUAUUUAUACAACAUUUAAACAUCCUUAUACUUAAUGUAGUAAGUCGAGUACACCCUAUCAAGCUAAAACAUGUUUCAUAAGUUUUCAGGAUGUGAAUUUAUUGAAAUAUAUUUGUGUUAUUUAGAAAAAUGCCA
Molecule: long non-coding RNA, 225 nt
Filed under: Mytilus galloprovincialis (Mediterranean mussel)
Lineage: Eukaryota; Metazoa; Mollusca; Bivalvia; Mytilida; Mytilidae
Source: RNAcentral